RNAcentral lists this ribosomal RNA (446 nucleotides) under uncultured bacterium. RNAcentral's name for it is "partial 16S ribosomal RNA". It matches the Rfam family "Bacterial small subunit ribosomal RNA", at positions 355 to 792 of the family's 1533-position model. The record is from RNAcentral.
UGGGGAAUAUUGGACAAUGGGCGAAAGCCUGAUCCAGCCAUGCCGCGUGUGUGAAGAAGGUCUUCGGAUUGUAAAGCACUUUAAGUUGGGAGGAAGGGCAGUAAAUUAAUACUUUGCUGUUUUGACGUUACCGACAGAAUAAGCACCGGCUAACUCUGUGCCAGCAGCCGCGGUAAUACAGAGGGUGCAAGCGUUAAUCGGAAUUACUGGGCGUAAAGCGCGCGUAGGUGGUUCGUUAAGUUGGAUGUGAAAUCCCCGGGCUCAACCUGGGAACUGCAUUCAAAACUGACGAGCUAGAGUAUGGUAGAGGGUGGUGGAAUUUCCUGUGUAGCGGUGAAAUGCGUAGAUAUAGGAAGGAACACCAGUGGCGAAGGCGACCACCUGGACUGAUACUGACACUGAGGUGCGAAAGCGUGGGGAGCAAAACAGGAUUAGAUACCCUGGUA